Molecule: long non-coding RNA, 837 nt
Filed under: Mus pahari (shrew mouse)
Lineage: Eukaryota; Metazoa; Chordata; Mammalia; Rodentia; Muridae
Description: predicted gene 14224 (MGP_PahariEiJ_G0005576.1)
Source: RNAcentral
GAGAAAAAAAGACUCAAGGCAGUGAGGUGAGGGGACCUGGUUUGCACCUCGGCAGAAGAGACACUGAGACCAGAGCGUGGGGAAGAUGGGGCCUUCUCAAGACCAAGAGUAAAGGAACAUCAGGAUUUGAAGGUAGCUCCAUCCAUGGACUUCUGGGCUAGGUUUCCUGGAACCACAUGACAGUGUCUUCCUGGGAAAGACGAAUGUGUGCAGGGGCAAGGAGAGGGCAGACACCCACACAGGGCCUCACCGGGACCCUGGCCUCACUAUGAUCUCUGCUCUGUACAGGGUGUGGGAAAGAGGGAGGCCCUUCCGCUCACCAAUGUUCAAGCUCCACAAGCAGCCAAUCGGGGCUCUGAAGGAGGGAAGAAACUUUGGUUCCCCUGGCAACACAAACAAAAGCCGCUCUCCUCAGCACCAAGCAGCUGGAGGAGGGAUGUGGACUGGAUUCCACCCAACCAGAUCUCCUCAGAAGCAGGAGCCUGGAUGAGCACAUUUCAUUCUAACUCCUGUGCUCUGGCUCAUCCAGGUCCAUCCCCAGGAGCAGGGGACCAACGGGCCAAAGAGGCUCCCGACAGUGGUGACUCCUCUUCAGUCUUUCAGAAUCCACUGACAACUAGGUUGUGGCUUAGGAUGGGGCUGGGGCUGUCCAUCCAUCAGUUCAUCACCUAGACCUUCUUCCCCGAGGCAGCUUCAGUGCCGAUGCCCACCUGGAUCUGAGCAAGCGCCCUCCCCCUUUCUCUUAAGCUCCCACUGCUGCCUCCACCCUGACUGUCUCUGAGGAGCAUCUGUGACCUGCGGUUGCUAGCCCACACUCACCAUAAAGCAAAAGGAAAG